Molecule: ribosomal RNA, 93 nt
Filed under: Salmonella enterica subsp. enterica serovar Infantis str. CVM N42459
Lineage: Bacteria; Pseudomonadati; Pseudomonadota; Gammaproteobacteria; Enterobacterales; Enterobacteriaceae
Description: partial 16S ribosomal RNA
Rfam family: Bacterial small subunit ribosomal RNA
Source: RNAcentral
UUAAAUUGAAGAGUUUGAUCAUGGCUCAGAUUGAACGCUGGCGGCAGGCCUAACACAUGCAAGUCGAACGGUAACAGGAAGAGCUUGCUGCUU